This 225-nucleotide long non-coding RNA is filed under the name Actinidia chinensis (golden kiwifruit). RNAcentral describes it as "long non-coding RNA (ACHI_LNC003613)". Lineage: Eukaryota; Viridiplantae; Streptophyta; Magnoliopsida; Ericales; Actinidiaceae. The record is from RNAcentral.
AAAAAAUUAAAAAAGUCGGGGAUCAAAGUGUAAUUUUUAAAUAUACCUUGAACUUAAAGUUGAACCCGAUAGUCAAUAACAUUAGUAUUCGCAAAACAAAACAAACGUAAAAUAGUCAAUAUAUAUUAUUACCCAAAAUUCAACUCAGCAUAAUUUGACAUUGAACCCAAAAUUAUUACCCAAAAUUCAACUUCAAGUUCAAGUUAAUUAGGGCCGAAAACCAAC